Molecule: ribosomal RNA, 623 nt
Filed under: Vibrio sp. TD15
Lineage: Bacteria; Pseudomonadati; Pseudomonadota; Gammaproteobacteria; Vibrionales; Vibrionaceae
Description: bacterial SSU rRNA
Rfam family: Bacterial small subunit ribosomal RNA
Source: RNAcentral
GGCAGGCCUAACACAUGCAAGUCGAGCGGUAAACGACUUAACUGAACCUUCGGGGAACGUUAAGGGCGUCGAGCGGCGGACGGGUGAGUAAUGCCUGGGAAUAUGCCUUAGUGUGGGGGAUAACUAUUGGAAACGAUAGCUAAUACCGCAUAAUGUCUUCGGACCAAAGAGGGGGACCUUCGGGCCUCUCGCGCUAAGAUUAGCCCAGGUGAGAUUAGCUAGUUGGUGAGGUAAGAGCUCACCAAGGCGACGAUCUCUAGCUGGUCUGAGAGGAUGAUCAGCCACACUGGAACUGAGACACGGUCCAGACUCCUACGGGAGGCAGCAGUGGGGAAUAUUGCACAAUGGGCGAAAGCCCUGAUGCAGCCAUGCCGCGUGUAUGAAGAAGGCCUUCGGGUUGUAAAGUACUUUCAGUAGGGAGGAAGGUGUUUGUAGUUAAUAGCUGCAGCAUUUGACGUUACCUACAGAAGAAGCACCGGCUANCUCCGUGCCAGCAGCCGCGAGUAAUACGGAGGGUGCGAGCGUUAAUCGGAAUUACUGGGCGUAAAGCGCAUGCCAGGUGGUUCAUUAAGUCAGAUGUGAAAGCCCGGGGCUCAACCUCGGAACCGCAUUUGAAACUGGUG